Molecule: ribosomal RNA, 3337 nt
Organism: Neurospora crassa OR74A
Lineage: Eukaryota; Fungi; Ascomycota; Sordariomycetes; Sordariales; Sordariaceae
Rfam family: Eukaryotic large subunit ribosomal RNA
Source: Rfam
UAACCUCGGAUUAAGUAGGAAUACUUACUAAAUUUAAAUAUAUUAAUAAAUAAAAGAAAAGAAACUAAUAGGGAUUGCCCUAAUAAUAGCGAAUAAAGUAGUAAUAGCUCAAAUUUAAAAUUUAGCUUCGGCCCGAAUUAUAAUUUAUAGAAGAAACUUUUAGUAAGGCACCUUCUAAAUCCCUUAGAACGGGGCGCUAUAAAAGGUAAGAACCCCGUAUAGUUAAAUAUUAAUUUAAUAUAAAGCUUCUUCAACGAAUCGAAUAAUUUAGGAAUAUUAUUUAAAAUAGGAGGUAAAUUUCUUUUAAAGCUAAAUACCGGCUAGAGAUUAAUAGUAUACAAGUAGAGUAAUUGAAAGAUGAAAAGCACUUUAAAAAGAGGGUUAAAUAGUAUAUAAAAUUAUUAAAAAGGAAGCGUUUAUAAUUAAAUUUGCGCUAUUCCGAUUAUCCGGUGUUCUUACUAGUAUAUUUAGGACGGUUUAAACUAAUAUUAGUUUUAGUAAGGGAAUAAAAGUUUAAAGAAUAUAGUUCCUCUAAGAGUAUUAUAGCCCCGGGUAUAAUACCCUUACUAGGAUUGAGGUUCGCGUAUUUAUAAAAAUGCUAGUAUAAUAGUUAUUAACAACCCGUCUUAAAAUACGGACUAAGGAAUUAAAGUUUUAUGCGAAUAUUUAAGUAUAAAACCCGCACGCGUAAUAAAAGUGAAUAUAAGUAAGAGUUUCGGCGUAUUAUCGACCAAUCCUAAUAUAUUUAGAUAGAUUUAAAUAAGAGUAUUAAACCUUAGACCCGAAAGAUAGUAAACUAUAUUUAAAUAGGGUGAAGUUAGAGGAAAUUCUAAUAGAAGUUUAUAGCAGUUUUAACGUAUAAAUCGAUUAUUAAAUCUAAAUAUAGGGGCGAAAAAUUAAUCGAACUAUCUAGUAACUAAUUACUACCGAAAUUUCCCUUAAGAUAAUAAUAUUAUUCUUUAAUUUUAUAAAGUAAAACGAAUAAUUAGGGACUCGGGGGCACUUUUUAGCCUUUAUCUAUUCUUAAACUUUAAAUAUAUAAGAAACUUUUAUUAUUUAAUUGAACGUAGGUAUUCAAAUAUACUAACACUAGUAGACUAUUUUUAGUAAAUAAAAUUAGCAAUAUAGAAUAAACCGAACGUAGAGUUAAAGUAUUGGAAUAAACGUUUAUUAAAUACUAUAAAAAAUAUUAGUAUAUUUUAAUAGUAGGACGGUAGCUAUAGAAGUCGGAAUCCGCUAAAAAUUAUAUAACAAUUUACUUACCGAAUAUAUUAGCCCUAAAAAUAAAUAAUAUUUAAACAUCCUACCUAUACUCCGCCCUUAGGGUAGAAAUAAUACUUUAAGGAGUAGGCGGUUAUAAAGGUUAGUAACGAAGCUUAAGGCGUAAGCCUAGGUUGAACGGCCUCUAAUAUAGAUUUUAAUAAUAAUAAUAAAUACUUUAAUAAGAAUUUGAAGGACCGAAGUAAGGAAAGGUUCUAUAUAAAUAGCAGUUAGAUAUAGGUUAAUCGAUCUUAAGCUAUAGGGAAAUUCCGUUUCAAAGGGGCACUUAUACCCUAUAUAGUAAAAGGGAAAUUAAUUAAUAUUUUAGUACUUAAAUAUAGGUUUUACACAAUAACGCAACUAAAUGUAGAAAUAACGGCGGGGGCCCCGGGCAAAAUUCUUUUUUCUUUUUAAUAAUUUAUUACUUUAAAAAUAAUUUAUUUAGAAAUAGGGUUUAAUAGCUAGAAGAGCCCAAUACUUCUAUCGGGUCUAAUACACUCUCAACGUCCCUUAAAAAUCUAUAGGAAGGAAUAAUUCUUACGCUAAAUUAUACUUAUAACCGUAGUAGGUCUCUAAGGUAAAUAGCUUUUAAUUAAUAGAAUAAUAUAAAUAAAAGAAGUUAAUAAAAUAGAUCUAUAACUUUAAAAAAAGGAUUAACUCUAAGGGUUGGGUAUAUUAGGCUUUAAGUAAAUGCCCUAAGAGUAAAUCGCUAUUAAUUAGGUAACUAGCCGGCGGCUUUCAAUAUCCAGGUAUAGAAGCUUUUAAUAGACUUCAGUUAUCCGGCGUAUAUUUAAUAACUAAUUUAGAAUUAGUACAAAUAGGAGGAAUCUAACUAUCUAAUUAAAAUAUAGUAUUACAAUAGCUAGAAAGUAGUAUUAAUAUAAUAUAAUUUCUAUUUAGUAUUUUAAAUAUUAAAGUAAAGAAAUUUAAUUAAAUACAAAUAAAUAGUAGGAGUAACUAUAACUCUCUUAAAGUAGCCAAAUACUUUAUUAUUUAAUUAGUAAUACAUAUAAAUAAAUUAAUAAGAUUCCUACUAUCCCUAUCUACUAUCUAACGAAACUAUAGCUAAGGGAAUAGACUUAGUAGAAUCAGCGGAGAAAAAAGACCUUAUUAAAUUUAAUUCUAAUUUAAUAUUAUAAAAAGAUAUAGGAGGUAUAGAAUAAGUAAGAGCUUCGGCGCCGGUAAAAUACUACUACUCCUAUUGUUUUUUUACUUAUUUAAUUAAGUAGGGCUGGAUUUUCGUUUAACUUCUAAUUUUAAAGUCCUUUACAAGCCGACCCGGGUUAAAAAUAUUAUUAAGUAGGGAAUUUAGCUAGGGUAGUACAUUUAUUAAACUAUAAUGUAAGUAUCCUAAAAGGGGCUUAUAAAGAACAGAAAUCUCUAAUAGAAUAAAAGGGUAAAAGUCCCCUUAAUUUUAAUUUUUAGUAUAAAUACAAACUAUAAAAGUAUAACCUAUCGAUCCUUUAGUCCCUCGAAAUUUGAAGCUAGAAGUACUAGAAAAAUUACUAUAAGGAUAAUUAGCUUAUAGCAGCUAAAUGUUUAUAGCAACAUCGCUUUUUAAUCCUUCAAUAUCGGCUCUUCCUAUUAUACUGAAGUAGAAUUCAAUAAAUGUUAAAUUAUUUACCUACUAAUAAGGAACGUAAAUUAGAUUUAAAUUAUUAUAAAAUAAAUUAAUUUUACUUUAUUAAUAACUUUAUUAUAAUAGUAAUUAAACUUAGUAUAAGAGGAACUAUUUAUUUAGAUAAUUAGUUUUUACAAUUAUUCGACCGGGUAGUACCGCAACGCUACUAUCUAUUAAAUAAUAACUAAACGCCUCUAAAUUAGAAUUUAUAUUAGAAUGUAAUAAUACUUCUAGUAUAUUAUAAAUAUAUAAGAAUAAACUCCAGCCUUAUAUUUUAAUAAACAAUUCCUCUAUUAGCUUUAAAGUAGCCAGUAGUAAUUCGUAUAUUAUAAUUUUAAUAUAUAUUAAAUUAAAUUCUUUACAAAUAAUUUAAAUAUAUAAAAGGGUUUUAUAAAUAGUAAAGUAACUUUAUUAUUACAAUUUACUAAAGGUAAGCCCUCCUUCGCCUAAAUUUCC